ACGGAGGGUGCGAGCGUUGUCCGGAAUCACUGGGCGUAAAGGGCGCGUAGGUGGCUCAUUAAGUGGCUGGUGAAAUCCCACGGCUUAACCGUGGAACUGCUUGGUAUACUGGCGGUCUUGAGCCAGCUAGGGGCUACCGGAACAAAUGGUGGAGCGGUGAAAUGCGUAGAUAUCAUUUGGAACGCCAAUGGUGAAAACAGGUAGCUGGGGCUGUGCUGACACUGAGACACGAAAGCCAGGGGAGCAAACGGGA
This 253-nucleotide ribosomal RNA is filed under the name uncultured prokaryote. Its description in RNAcentral is "partial 16S ribosomal RNA". It matches the Rfam family "Bacterial small subunit ribosomal RNA", at positions 525 to 777 of the family's 1533-position model. The record is from RNAcentral.